Molecule: ribosomal RNA, 161 nt
Filed under: Glomerellaceae sp.
Lineage: Eukaryota; Fungi; Ascomycota; Sordariomycetes; Glomerellales; Glomerellaceae
Description: partial large subunit ribosomal RNA
Rfam family: Eukaryotic large subunit ribosomal RNA
Source: RNAcentral
CGGCAACAGCUCAGAUUUGAAAUCUGGCCCGUCAGGGUCCGAGUUGUAAUCUGUAGAGGAUGCUUUUGGCGAGGUGCCUUCUAAGUCCCCUAGAACGGGGCGCCAUAGAGGGUGAGAGCCCCGUACAGUUGGACACCGAACCUUUGUAAAGCUCCUUCGAC